CUUGUCGCAUGACGGUGUGAAACGUUGCAAGAAAAUAUUAUCGCAGCUUUAUAUUCAUAUACACAACAGUAGUGUGUUCUCUACAGUAGUGCGACAAAGAAAUAGCAUUGUCACAAAAGAAAUAUUGAGACUAAUAUAUUGGGGAUCGCUUUAUUUAUCUGCAUUAUUU
Non-coding RNA from Nylanderia fulva, 169 nucleotides. NCBI's taxonomy places the organism in Eukaryota, Metazoa, Arthropoda, Insecta, Hymenoptera, Formicidae. The record is from RefSeq and is a predicted model, not a curated record.